UACGGGGGGAGCAAGCGUUGUUCGGAUUUACUGGGCGUAAAGGGCGCGUAGGCGGCCACCUCAGGUCAAUUGUGAAAUCUCCGGGCUUAACUCGGAAAGGUCAACUGAUACUGCGGGGCUAGAGUGCGGAAGGGGCAACUGGAAUUCUCGGUGUAGCGGUGAAAUGCGUAGAUAUCGAGAGGAACACCUGCGGCGAAGGCGGGUUGCUGGGCCGACACUGACGCUGAUGCGCGAAAGCCAGGGGAGCGAACGGG
This 254-nucleotide ribosomal RNA is filed under the name uncultured bacterium. RNAcentral describes it as "partial 16S ribosomal RNA". It matches the Rfam family "Bacterial small subunit ribosomal RNA", at positions 524 to 776 of the family's 1533-position model. The record is from RNAcentral.